UACGGAGGAUGCAAGCGUUAUCCGGAAUGAUUGGGCGUAAAGCGUCCGCAGGUGGCUGUGUAAGUCUGCUGUUAAAGAGUGAGGCUCAACCUCAUAAAAGCAGUGGAAACUACACGGCUAGAGUGCGUUCGGGGCAGAGGGAAUUCCUGGUGUAGCGGUGAAAUGCGUAGAUAUCCGGAGGAACACCGGUGGCGAAGGCGGCUUCCUGGACCGACACUGACGCUGAGGCGCGAAAGCUAGGGGAGCAAACGGG
This 253-nucleotide ribosomal RNA is filed under the name uncultured bacterium. Its description in RNAcentral is "partial 16S ribosomal RNA". It matches the Rfam family "Bacterial small subunit ribosomal RNA", at positions 524 to 776 of the family's 1533-position model. The record is from RNAcentral.